GGAGUGUUCUUCACUGAAACCCGAUAGGCUAAAGAAUGCUCAAGCUGUAACAGUGCACAGGAGUGAGGACUGAACUCCCACAGAACGGGUCUUCUCUGCAGUUUGAUGUAUGGGCACAUUAACAUUCAUGUGUUCUGGUAUUUUGGAUGCUAGUGAACUUCCUUAGAAUUUACUUGACAUUGCUUUGAAAGUGUCUUCCCUUUGCCUUUUAAAAUACACUGACCCACACAGAUGCCGCCUGGCCCAUGUUCUGUCUUGGUGACAUGCUAUAUUCUUGAGUUGCUUUAUCUACUCAUUUAAGGAUUGCAUGGGAAAAAAAACUGGGCUGCUAUACCUGGAGACAUGAGCAAGAACUGGAAUUCAGAACUGAUCAGUGUGGACUGGGUGUCAUAGAUACAGAACAACUAGAAUUCUCUAAAAUCCUUCCUCCGAAGACAGGGAGUCUAGUAUUUCAGAUUUUGAUGUUUGCUAAGAUAAAGGAUGACAACGCUAAAAGCAGGAAUCUUUGCGGAACAUCCAUUGAUGUUGCCGUGGGCUCAAGGGCCAGGUUCAAAUCCUAACUUGCAGUUUCUGGUACCUGCAAAUGUGUUUUUCUUUUGGAGGAGAUGUGUGCGUUUGGGGCCCCAGAAUUGGACAUGAUACUGCAGGUGGAGUCUCACAAGAGCAGAGCAGAAGGGCAGAAUCAGCUCCAUGGACCUGCUGGUCUCACUUCUCUUGAUGCAAGAUACUUCUUUUGAUACAAGAGAUAGUUGUUGCUAUCAGGGACAUCAGUAUGACUUUACUGAUGAUGACCUGGAAUAUAUGAUUAAUCAUGUUGACGUCUGCAGCAGGGAUGAGAUUUGGAGGCCACUCCUGGAAUACUCAGUAAGGUCUACUGUAAGCCUUUAGAAAUAAUCCAAGAAACAGAGUCAAGACAGAACUAAAAUGUACAAUAGGAGAAACAUCACAAGAAGAUGCAUAGGAAGAAUUGUGAUGUGAUUUGAGCAAGACAAGGAUCUCCCCUGGCCUAUCAACUGCCCCAAGAUGGAGCUGCAUGCAUUCCAUCUGCUCCUCUGCAUGGAGCAUGACUUCUCCUCACCUUUGCAGCCACCCUUUCCUGAAGAGCCUCUUUUUAAUUUUUCCCAAGUUCAAUUUGUGCAGGUGCCUGCUUUUCACUGUUGUAGCAGAAAUGCUAAGUCAUGGCCUGAACCAGUGAUUGAGCACCUGGUGGGAAGGCAGGGCCAACCCAGGGGAGCUCAGCUGCAUGUGGAGCACCUGAGUGAUUGGAAGGCAUGGAGCCAGGAUCCACCCCUUCCCAGACUUCAUUUAAGGGUUAGCAGUGGAGGUGAGGAUAUCUUGUUGGAGGUUACUGCUUACUGAAGGUCUUCAUAAGUGUAUGCUGGUGGAGCAAUACCAAGUUAUCUCUCAAACUUCCAAAGCUGGCUGGAGCUGGAUGUGAGGUUUUUACAAGAAGACAACCAAGCCUGCUUUUUCUUUUCCCAACUCAUCAUACAGUGUACCUUGUCUCACCUCCCAGCAAACUGACAGCAACCUGUACCCAACAUGAAAAAAAAAAUAACAAGCAGAUAGCACUCAAGCAGCAAAAUCAACAUUCUUAUUCUUCAGUUAAUGACUAAUGUGAGCAAGAUGAGGUCCAGCAGCACUCCAACAGAACAGAAGAGAGUCCUUUAUUCCCAAAGCAUCAAUGAUAUGGUCAAUAGUUAAAUCCAAUAAGUGAUAUUUUUUCCCUCUUCUUGAACCUAAAAAUUAAGAAAUGAGAGCUCUACAGCUCUUUUUCUUACCUGUAUAUGAAUUACUUGACUGACAUUGCCUUUCAAAAAGAGCUGCAAAUAUGUUAAGCCAGGAGGGUAAAGAAAAUGAAUCCUACUCAUUAAUUAGCAUUACUACAUAGUGCAAGUAUGCACAAUGUGGAUUUGAAGAUGGAUCUCCACCUUUUACGUAUAACCUGGCAGGCGUACAAGUGACAAUGUAUCGUAGCAUUUUGUGUAAACCCUUGUGAAAGUUCUGUCCUUGGUGAGAUACAGAUCUAGGAGAACCAACAUACAGAUGGACAGGCGAUCAAGAAAAAAACAAACAGGAAAUAGCAGGCUGAAGAGAAGAUACACACAUGCAAAGAAAUAGUGCUUAAAUUCUUCUAAGGUCUGAUAAGAGGAGACUGAUGGUCCAGCUGAACCUGCAAAAAGUGAUAGAACUCCAAAUUGUACUGAAUUUUUUCAAAGCAACUGGUACAUAGUAGCAUCAACAAUAGGUUGUAUCACAUGGAUCAUACCCAGGAGGGUAGAGGCUGCAGUAUUCUGACAGACCCUGGUGUAAUACAUGCACCCUAAUGGGUCUCCCAGACCUACCUCUAGGCCACUCUUUCAGUUGGCCUCCAGCUGUUACUCCGUCCACAUAACUGUGAGUAACCCUAUGAGAGCAUGUGUGUGUCUGAACUGUAAAUGGAUGUAUGGUGUGAAUUAUUAAUUAUUAUAAAGCUGUGGCUAAUAAUGAAAGCUUGAGUCUAUUCAUAAUAUAAAUAUAUGUGAACCUAAGUAGUAAAAGGUGUUUUAAUAAAUAUUGGUCAUGAUCUGUCUCCCCAGCUUGAUUGCCUACCAGAGAAAAUGGUAUUUAUAAUAAUGAAAUUUCCUUUCUACUUGGAAAAGACAGGAGAUGAACCAUUGAAUUCAGCAUGCUAGGUAGCUGCAGAGAGGACCCUCCCCCCUUCAUCUAAAUGUUGAGCAGUAGCUUUAUUUCCUGAAUGUACCCAUCCAUUAUCUUCUACUGACAAUAAACACCUUACAAUUUCUUUUUAGUAAGAUCUUUAUGAGCCUUCAGUUCAUGUUAAGUUUAAAAGGGUCGUAUUCCUUUGUUUUGACAGUGCAAAGGAUUCUGGUUUACUUUUAGCUGUUUUUGAAGCUUAAUUGGAGCCAGAAGGCUGGAUCAUCAGUAGACAUAAUGUAUUAUCAUUAACUUCAUGAGGCAAUUUCUCAUGUACAAUUUUGCUAGUGCAGACAU
Gallus gallus (chicken) is the source of this 2994-nucleotide long non-coding RNA. Lineage: Eukaryota; Metazoa; Chordata; Aves; Galliformes; Phasianidae. The record is from Ensembl.